CAAAAGGCAUAUUCAUUUCAAAUGCUUGAAUGCCAGCAUUAAUUUUAGUGGAUGUGUCAUUUAGGACAUUCCAUCAUCCUUUUGAUUGGUGGCCAAUGGUACAUGAUGGGUAUUAUUUACACCGCAUCAUGACAUUUGGGGAUCAUCAUGCACAUGGAGGCUUUGGGGUGUGAUCCAAGGGGUUCCAGUCUUGAGUAAAAUAAGAACUUUUCUAACAGUCUCACCAAGGAGUUAAAAAGGAAGGUGUCACUUGAUAGACUAAAAUAGCAAGCACCGUGUGGGAGAACUUAGCCAACCUGAAGGUGUAGUAUAUAGAUCGAGAAAUAGCUAGCAUAAACUAUUAUGAGUAGGUCAAAAGAGGACAUUGCAUUGAGAUAUAGGUUGAUCAAGUGUGAUAAUUAGUUUGACAGACUAAUCAAUACAUGGCCAUUAUGGUAAAUAUGAGUAGCUGA
Molecule: long non-coding RNA, 452 nt
Filed under: Elaeis guineensis (African oil palm)
Lineage: Eukaryota; Viridiplantae; Streptophyta; Magnoliopsida; Arecales; Arecaceae
Description: long non-coding RNA (EGUI_LNC031824)
Source: RNAcentral